Molecule: ribosomal RNA, 499 nt
Filed under: uncultured bacterium
Lineage: Bacteria
Description: partial 16S ribosomal RNA
Rfam family: Bacterial small subunit ribosomal RNA
Source: RNAcentral
GACGAACGCUGGCGGCGUGCUUAACACAUGCAAGUCGAACGGGCCUGUCUUCUUUUUUGGGGGUGGGUUGAGUGGCGAACGGGUGAGUAUCACGUGAGUAACCUGCCCUUCGGUCCUGGAUAACCGCUUGAAAGGGCGGCUAAUACGGGGUGGUCCGGUUGGUCCGCAUGGGCUGGUCGGGAUAGAUUCACUGUUUUUGGUGUUUCGGCGGGGGAUGGGCUCGCGGCCUAUCAGCUUGUUGGUGGGGUGAUGGCCUACCAAGGCGGUGACGGGUAGCCGGCCUGAGAGGGUGGGCGGCCACACUGGGACUGAGAUACGGCCCAGACUCCUGCGGGAGGCAGCAGUGGGGGGUAUAGCACAAUGGGCGGAAGCCUGAUGCAGCGACGUCGCGUGAGGGAUGGAGGCCUUCGGGUUGUGAACCUCUGUUUCCGGUGGUGAAGGCCCUGUCCGUGUGGUGGGGUUGACGGUAGCCGGGGAUGAAGCGCCGGCUAACUACGUG